AUUGAACGCUGGCGGCAUGCUUUACACAUGCAAGUCGAACGGUAACAGAGAAAAGCUUGCUUUUCUGCUGACGAGUGGCGAACGGGUGAGUAAUACAUCGGAACGUACCCUGUAGUGGGGGAUAACUACUCGAAAGAGUAGCUAAUACCGCAUACAACCUGAGGGUAAAAGUGGGGGACCGCAAGGCCUCACGCUAUAGGAGCGGCCGAUGGAAGAUUAGGUAGUUGGUAGGGUAAAGGCCUACCAAGCCGACGAUCUUUAGCGGGGCUGAGAGGACGAUCCGCCACACUGGGACUGAGACACGGCCCAGACUCCUACGGGAGGCAGCAGUGGGGAAUUUUGGACAAUGGGCGAAAGCCUGAUCCAGCAAUGCCGCGUGAGUGAAGAAGGCCUUCGGGUUGUAAAGCUCUUUUGUUUGGGAAGAAAUCCCUAAGGAUAAUACCCUUGGGGGAUGACGGUACCAAAAGAAUAAGCACCGGCUAACUACGUGCCAGCCGCCGCGGUAA
Molecule: ribosomal RNA, 506 nt
Filed under: uncultured bacterium
Lineage: Bacteria
Description: partial 16S ribosomal RNA
Rfam family: Bacterial small subunit ribosomal RNA
Source: RNAcentral